This 90-nucleotide transfer RNA is filed under the name Pseudomonadota bacterium. Its description in RNAcentral is "tRNA-OTHER". Lineage: Bacteria; Pseudomonadati; Pseudomonadota. The record is from RNAcentral.
CGGAGGCUGUGGGGCAGCGCCAAGGGGUGCUUCUUUCUCCUACGCCAGCUUGGCGAGCUGGGUGCGAAGGUUCGAGUGCUUCGCUUCCGU